Molecule: small RNA, 1614 nt
Filed under: Histoplasma capsulatum
Lineage: Eukaryota; Fungi; Ascomycota; Eurotiomycetes; Onygenales; Ajellomycetaceae
Also listed under: 1 other name
Description: hypothetical RNA
Source: RNAcentral
GUGUAUUGAUCGACUGAUUUCCUCUGAUAUUAGAGAGCAUAAAUCAGGUAGCCAAUCAUCUGGUAAAACCUGGAAACCAAUAGACACAGGAUGGUAUUGAUAUCCGGUCCCUCCUACUCUCAGUUUGGCAUCCGAUAUUUUCACCUUCAUCACUGCUAGUGAUAGUCAAGACUGUUGAUGGAUUUUUGCCUCGUCUGAGAAAUGAGAUAAGUUUCCAAUUAUCAAUUGGGCCCGACAUACAUUCUCAUAAUAUUAAAUCUCCCCUUUGACCCCAAUAUGACAAGGAACAUAAGGCGAUUUAUCCCUCCAGACAAUGAAAGCUCCCGGGAGAAACAGUCCAUUUACUCUCGUUUUUCUUCAAUGGGAAAUUAUUGAAGAAAAUGCCGCGUCCUUUUUGAGACUCUAAUCUCGUUCAGCGAAGGGAAUGCAGUAUAUUUUGACCGGAGACCCGUCAAACAUCCCACAGUCGAUUGAGAAUUGUACUGUUAUAUCCUGACAUGUACAGUACAAUCGCCUCAGAUGCUUUAUCAUUAUCAUUUCCAAUGACGAAAUCCUACCCCUGUUUUAAUUACGGAUAUGAUGGCUCAUAUUCCCACUCCAAACCUCUAUCCUGCCAGCAGCCUUGACUCUAUCUACAUCCCUUGUCAGCCUGGUUCAUUCUAUUACAGCAAUAUACAGGUAGCAGUAUUGAUGUGCCUCUGAGGGUCAUUUUUUUGGAGCUUAUAGCGCCAUCAAAAGCGUGAUAAUUAUCUACAAUGCAGGUUUAUGAAUAGACAUACUUCUAUUGCCAAAACAUUAUAAUCGAUGAGUGAUUGUAUUCUCUCAAAGCUUCCUCCCACGAACAUCACUAUUUUGCACUAUCAAUCCAAAGAAGCUACAGUAGCUUGAAAAGGCCUCAAGAUAUACCAAAAUAUCAGAAAAAAAAGGAAAACAGGAAAAGAAAACGGGGGGGAAAAAAGAAAAAGAAAAAAAGCUAACUACGGUACAAAAUUAUAAUUCUCCCAGAUUUUCGCCUCAAUUGUGUUCACAUCGCUAGGCCGAAUUUCCUUACCUCCAGCGACUUAGCAGGGUUCAUGCGAGAAAAUUUUCAAUCAUACGGCUUCGUUUUUCCCUUAAGUUUAUCGAACGCCCAUAUGGACAACAUAUGAUACUAAAUAAGCUGGCCUGACAGAUACUUGACACUGCCAGGCCACUGAAAGUUCUAAAGCACUCCCACUUAUUUUGCGUCAAAUGUGCUUAACGGCAAAUUAAAAAUUGCAUCCUAUUAUCUGCAUCAGGUCUGCAUCAGAGGCUUGUGAAAGGCAGAUUAUUAAUUUUCCAGGUCCAAGAAAGCUAUACUAAUGUACGAGAAGCCCGUUUCUUGUCCUGAUAUACAUUAUUACAUUGUGGCCAAUAUGCGGGGAGUGGAUUUUGAGCUCUUUUACUGCCCAGGGGCUGUCGGAGACGUCCCUGCUAGAGGUAUCGAGAGGCCAUGAUAUAGUUGUUCGAUGGAUAAUGGUGUGGACUAUGGUGACAACCCAUAUAAUGUGCAAAUACCUUCGAUCGCGGCGUUCAUCUGGAUUCUGGCGCACGACGACCUCAUCUCCCAGAAGCACCACAUUGAAGGCGGCUGAG